RNAcentral lists this long non-coding RNA (1142 nucleotides) under Equus caballus (horse). Its description in RNAcentral is "lncRNA (ENSECAG00000056443.1)". The record is from RNAcentral. Lineage: Eukaryota; Metazoa; Chordata; Mammalia; Perissodactyla; Equidae.
CCUGUCUUGGUGACAGAGGCUGUACCACAGGAAGCAGUCACCUCUUUGUAUUAUUUGUCCCCAAAGAUAAAGCGAAUGAUUCCAGUUCUAGAACCUGAAACUAUUCAGAUAAUUGAAUCCCUAUGUUCGGGCAAAGGACGGGAGAAGUGCAAGUAAUGCCAGGAUUCUUCCUGGUUCUGAAAAGAAAGAGGCAAUAAGACCCUUUGGGUGGAUUUUAUUUGAUGGUACUUGAAAUUCUCAUAUCAUUGAAAUGAAAGUGAUCAAUGUAAGGUCUAUUCCAGAGAGAGGAGGCACUCCUAAUUUUAGAAGAAUCUAAAAUGCCACAGAGGGGAGAGACAGAAUCAGCCUGGCGAAGACAUGGUGAAGCUGUGGUUCCAGCACCAAGCUGGACGGUAGCUGGAGAAAGACACUUUUGGCACAGCCUGAAUAAUGGUUGGAGCAGUCUGUUCCAAAGGGGUGUGUAAGUUGUUGGUGAAGGUGUGGGCGACAUGUUGUGUAGUCUGAUCUCCUCUCACAGAUCUACGGAAAACACACUCAAGCCUUGGGGGCCAGGAGGUGGUCAAGACUUUAUCUGACCUGAUACCUUCCCUGGGCUCACACAUCUGCUUUCUCAGAGAAGGUCCAUUGAGGCAGCUCUGAGUUCUAGGUAAGAGAAGAAGGGAAACUUCAAAAAGAUGUGUUGUCCAGUUUUGCAGAGGAUAGUAAUUCUCAAUUAAAAAUCCUGGUCAUCAAUUCAGUCUCAGAGGUACCAGACUUGGUAUCGUUGCCCUUCUCCGUUGUGAAAUUGACUCUGGCUGAGGAGCUGCUAUGUUGCCCUUUAAGAAGUCCCAGAAAGGCAGGCUGUGGCCAGGGCUGGGAUGUCUGGGUUAGGCAGGUGCCCAGAACAGUGGAUCAGAACAAAUUGAAUCAUGUGGACUCUCUGUCCAACACCAUUUUGGCCUGUCACUGGCACUUGUCUAAACAGACACAUAAACCUGAAAGUUGGACUGGUGUCUCAAUGUUGCUAUCAGUUCCUUGGAUAAACAUCUCCUCUGAAUGAUUAUAAACAAAUUACUUCAUCUGCAACACACAAAGCCACUGCGGUCUGAAGUUAUAUAAUCUCUCUUUCUCCCUCCUUUCCUUUUUCCCUCUUCCAAUUUCCU